Molecule: ribosomal RNA, 2560 nt
Filed under: human gut metagenome
Description: bacterial LSU rRNA
Rfam family: Bacterial large subunit ribosomal RNA
Source: RNAcentral
AGAGCGCAGGGUGGAUGCCUUGGCACUAAGAGCCGAUGAAAGACGUGAUAAGCUGCGAAAAGCUUCGGGGAGGAGCAAAUAUCCUUUGAUCCGGAGAUUUCUGAAUGGGGAAACCCACUUGAGCAAACCUCAAGUAUCCUUAAGCCAAUACAUAACUUAAGGAAGGGAACCCGGUGAACUGAAACAUCUAAGUAGCCGGAGGAAGAGAAAACAACAAGUGAUUCUGUGAGUAGCGGCGAGCGAAAACGGAAGAGCCCAAACCGGAAUGCGUGCAUUCCGGGGUUCGGACCGCGUAAUUGAUCUGACAAGUUUAGCAGAAUGGUUUUGGGAAAGCCAGCCAGAGAGGGUGAAAGCCCCGUAAGCGAAAGACGAGUCAGCAAGGCGGGAUCCAGAGUACCACGAGACACGAGAAACCUUGUGGGAAUGAGCGGGGACCACCCCGUAAGGCUAAAUACUCCUUAGUGACCGAUAGCGCAUAGUACUGUGAAGGAACGGUGAAAAGGACCCCGGGAGGGGAGUGAAACAGAACCUGAAACCGCAUACAUACAAACAGUAGGAGCUCCUUUUGUGGAGUGACUGCGUACCUUUUGCAUAAUGGGUCAGCGACUUACGUUUUGCGGCAAGCUUAACCGAGUAGGGGAGGCGCAGCGAAAGCGAGUUCGAACAGAGCGACAAGUCACAAGGCGUAGACCCGAAACCAGAUGAGCUAUCCAUGGCCAGGUUGAAGGUGUGGUAACACACACUGGAGGACCGAACCGACUAGUGUUGCAAAAUUAGCGGAUGAGCUGUGGAUAGGGGUGAAAGGCUUAACAAAUCUGGAGAUAGCUGGUUCUCCCCGAAAACUAUUGAGGUAGUGCCUCGUGUAUUGCUCCAGGGGGUAGAGCACUGUUAUGGCUAGGGGGACAUGGCGUCUUACCAAACCAUGGCAAACUCCGAAUACUUGGAAGUAUGAGCACGGGAGACAGAGCACCGGGUGCUAACGUCCGGACUCAAGAGGGAAACAACCCAGACCGCCGUUUAAGGUCCCUAAUAUUGACUAAGUGGAAAACGAAGUGUGAAGGCUAAGACAGUCAGGAAGUUGGCUUAGAAGCAGCCAUCCUUCAAAGAAAGCGUAAUAGCUCACUGAUCGAGUCCUCAUGCGCGGAAGAUGUAACGGGGCUAAGUCAAUAACCGAAAGCGCGGAUUUGCACGUAAGUGCAAGUGGUAGGGGAGCGUUCUGUAAGCCUGCGAAGGUGGUUCGAGAGGACUGCUGGAGGUAUCAGAAGUGCGAAUGCUGACAUGAGUAACGUUAAAGCGGGUGAAAAGCCCGCUCGCCGUAAGCCCAAGGUUUCCUGCUCUACGUUCAUCGGAGCAGGGUGAGUCGGCCCCUAAGGCCAGGCUGAGAAGCGUAGUCGAUGGGAAGCAGAUUAAUAUUUCUGCACCAUGUACAAGUGCGAUGAGGGGACGGAGCGUGAAUGAUCGGCCGGGUGUUGGAUGUCCCGGUUUGUGCGUGUAGAAGGCCGAUUGGCAAAUCCGUCGGCGGAUCUUCGAGACAAAGCAUCGAGGUUCUACGGAACCGAAGCGAUCGGAAGUGCUUCCAGGAAAAGCCUCUAAGCUUCAGCUUGUACGUGACCGUACCGUAAACCGACACUGGUGGGCGAGUUGAAUAUACUCAGGCGCUUGAGAGAACUCGGGAGAAGGAACUCGGCAAAUUGACACCGUAACUUCGGGAUAAGGUGUGCCUUUGUAGUGUGAAGAGAGAAACACUCCGAGCAUGAAGAGGCCUCAGAGAAUCGGUGGCUGCAACUGUUUAUUAAAAACACAGCACUCUGCAAAGACGAAAGUCGACGUAUAGGGUGUGAUGCCUGCCCGGUGCUGGAAGAUUAAGUGAUGGGGUGAGAGCUCCUGAUCGAAGUCCCAGUAAACGGCGGCCGUAACUAUAACGGUCCUAAGGUAGCGAAAUUCCUUGUCGGGUAAGUUCCGACCUGCACGAAUGGCAUAAUGAUGGCCACACUGUCUCCUCCCGAGACUCAGUGAAGUUGAAAUGUUUGUGAUGAUGCAAUCUCCCCGCGGCUAGACGGAAAGACCCCAUGAACCUUUACUGUAGCUUUGCAUUGGACUUUGAACCGAUUUGUGUAGGAUAGGCGGGAGGCAGAGAAAGCGCAACGCCAGUUGUGCCGGAGCCGACGUUGAAAUACCGCCCUGAUUUGUUUGAGGUUCUAACCGCGGCCCGUAAUCCGGGUCCGGGACCGUGCAUGGCAGGCAGUUUGACUGGGGCGGUCUCCUCCUAAAGGGUAACGGAGGAGUACAAAGGUACGCUAGGUACGGUCGGAAAUCGUGCUGAUAGUGCAAAGGCAUAAGCGUGCUUGACUGCGAGACCGACAAGUCGAGCAGAUGCGAAAGCAGGUCUUAGUGAUCCGGUGGCUCUGUAUGGAAGGGCCAUCGCUCAACGGAUAAAAGGUACUCUGGGGAUAACAGGCUGAUACCGCCCAAGAGUUCAUAUCGACGGCGGUGUUUGGCACCUCGAUGUCGGCUCGUCGCAUCCUGGGGCUGAAGUAGGUCCCAAGGGUUGGGCUGUUCG